ACUAGUUGACCAAAUCAGUAGGUUCCAAGGUUAAAAGUUUAAAAUUUUUAUUGUUUGAACUUGCUGAAAUUUCAUUUGUUUAUGUGACAAGCCCAACUUUGAUGGAUAAACAAUGUCCAAGGGAGGCAGGUUGUCUAUUGGUUCAUCAAUGAAACGAUAAUUAUAGGAGACUAGUAAUUAGAAUAGUAUUAUAUGUACUUAAUA
RNAcentral lists this long non-coding RNA (204 nucleotides) under Nicotiana benthamiana. Its description in RNAcentral is "long non-coding RNA (NBEN_LNC041716)". The record is from RNAcentral. Lineage: Eukaryota; Viridiplantae; Streptophyta; Magnoliopsida; Solanales; Solanaceae.